This 452-nucleotide ribosomal RNA is filed under the name uncultured bacterium. RNAcentral describes it as "bacterial SSU rRNA". It matches the Rfam family "Bacterial small subunit ribosomal RNA", at positions 345 to 796 of the family's 1533-position model. The record is from RNAcentral.
CGUGCAGCAGGCGAGGAAUAUUGCGCAAUGGGCGAAAGCCUGACGCAGCGACGCCGCGUGGGGGAUGAAGGUCUUCGGAUUGUAAACCCCUUUCGGGAGGGAAGACGGCCUUAGACAACUAAGGCGGACGGUACCUCCAGAAGCAGCCACGGCUAACUUCGUGCCAGCAGCCGCGGUAAUACGAAGGUGGCAAGCGUUGUUCGGAUUUACUGGGCGUAAAGGGAGCGUAGGUGGUUAGGUAAGCCCUCCGGGAAAUCUUCAGGCUUAACCUGAAAAGGUCGGGGGGGACUGCCUAGCUAGAGGGCGGGAGAGGAGCGCGGAAUUCCCGGUGUAGCGGUGAAAUGCGUAGAGAUCGGGAGGAAGGCCGGUGGCGAAGGCGGCGCUCUGGAACGUUUCUGACACUGAGGCUCGAAAGCGUGGGGAGCAAACAGGAUUAGAUACCCUUGUAGUCC